GUGAGGAAUAUUGCACAAUGGGCGAAAGCCUGAUGCAGCAACGCCGCGUGAGUGAUGAAGGCCUUUGGGUCGUAAAACUCUGUCCUUGGGGAAGAAAAAAAUGACGGUACCCUUGGAGGAAGCCCCGGCUAACUACGUGCCAGCAGCCGCGGUAAUACGUAGGGGGCAAGCGUUAUCCGGAAUUAUUGGGCGUAAAGAGUGCGUAGGUGGUUUUGUAAGCGUAGGGUGAAAGGCAGUAGCUCAACUAUUGUUAGCCCUGCGAACUGUGAGACUUGAGUGCAGGAGAGGAAAGUGGAAUUCCUAGUGUAGCGGUGAAAUGCGUAGAUAUUAGGAGGAACACCAGUGGCGAAGGCGGCUUUCUGGACUGUAACUGACACUGAGGCACGAAAGCGUGGGGAGCAAACAGGAUUAGAAACCCCGGUAGUCC
RNAcentral lists this ribosomal RNA (427 nucleotides) under uncultured bacterium. RNAcentral describes it as "partial 16S ribosomal RNA". It matches the Rfam family "Bacterial small subunit ribosomal RNA", at positions 354 to 796 of the family's 1533-position model. The record is from RNAcentral.